UACGGAGGGUGCAAGCGUUAUCCGGAUUCACUGGGUUUAAAGGGUGCGUAGGUGGGUCUGUAAGUCAGUGGUGAAAUCUCCGGGCUUAACCCGGAAACUGCCAUUGAUACUAUAGGUCUUGAAUUAUCUGGAGGUGAGCGGAAUAUGUCAUGUAGCGGUGAAAUGCUUAGAUAUGACAUAGAACACCGAUUGCGAAGGCAGCUCACUACGGAUCGAUUGACACUGAGGCACGAAAGCGUGGGGAUCAAACAGG
Molecule: ribosomal RNA, 253 nt
Filed under: uncultured bacterium
Lineage: Bacteria
Description: partial 16S ribosomal RNA
Rfam family: Bacterial small subunit ribosomal RNA
Source: RNAcentral